GCAUCUUUUCACAUCAGAGAGGAAUUGCUGAAAAAGAUGAUGGAAUCUUCUUUCAAUAAUGUUGGUGUUACGAUAAAGCAGAAGAAAAGUUCCAUGAAAGUGGAGUCGUUUUUUAAAACAAAUUUGGAAAAUACAGUUGAAUGAUAUAUUAUUAAGACAGUAUUUCGUUUGUCCUGUGUAAAGAAUGUGGGAUAUGACAGUAAAUGACAAUUUUUUUGUUUCAGUGAUGACGAACAUAUCACAUCAAUGUCAGAAUUCAGCGUCUAUAAAGAAACUCCUCGGAGUAAAAUAUUUUUAAUAAUUCGAUAUCGAAACCAUCCUCAGUCGUUCGGGCUGGAAUACACAAGCGGUCGGCUGAGAAAUUACUCGUCUCCUGACAGGGAAACAUUAUUGGCUGGUUUGCUAGACGGUGUUAGAGCCAGUUGAAACAUAGAUGUUUGCGUAAAAACGACCCCAACGAAGAGAAGUACUGUACGCUUAUUCAUAGAUGAUUGAGCGAAAAUUAUGGUCAAAAUUUUCCUGAUGAAAAUCUCGUACUGCUAUGAUUACCCUAAAUAGGAUCCCUCAUUUCAUUCUCCUGCUGACGUAUGUGAUCUCAUAUAACACACCAACAAUUACACUUCUCGUCAGGUUAUCGUUGGGGUCCAUUGUAUAAUGUUGUUGACGAAGAAGUAGAAAGCAGUCAUUUAAAUUCCUCGCUGCAUCUCCAGGAAAUUUAACCGAAGCUGUGUACAGAUUUAACUGCAAUAUU
This is a long non-coding RNA of Dendronephthya gigantea, 751 nucleotides long. RefSeq lists it as uncharacterized. The record is from RefSeq and is a predicted model, not a curated record. The transcript has 6 exons. Lineage: Eukaryota; Metazoa; Cnidaria; Anthozoa; Malacalcyonacea; Nephtheidae.